RNAcentral lists this unclassified non-coding RNA (220 nucleotides) under Hevea brasiliensis (rubber tree). The record is from RNAcentral. Lineage: Eukaryota; Viridiplantae; Streptophyta; Magnoliopsida; Malpighiales; Euphorbiaceae.
UCGUGAGCAGCAAAAGCACCACUGCGUUCAUCAAUGCAGCGAGGAUCUCGGUACGCAGAUAACCGUAAGUUUCUUUGCGGCGUUGGGGCCCUUUUGCGCGAAAUGGAUGGCAANNNNNNNNNCGUCCGUCGCCAUAUGCGCCGCAUCGGCGAUCAAAGCGAGGCUGCCGGUCACGAUACCACCUACGAUUUCGGCCCAUGUAAGGUUAAGGUCAGCGCCA